GGUUGUAUGGUGUAAUGGUUAGCACUCUGGACUCUGAAUCCAGUGAUCCAGUUUCAAAUCUCGGUAGGACCU
This 72-nucleotide transfer RNA is filed under the name Danionella translucida. It matches the Rfam family "tRNA". From Rfam's summary of the family: Transfer RNA (tRNA) molecules are approximately 80 nucleotides in length. Their secondary structure includes four short double-helical elements and three loops (D, anti-codon, and T loops). Further hydrogen bonds mediate the characteristic L-shaped molecular structure. tRNAs have two regions of fundamental functional importance: the anti-codon, which is responsible for specific mRNA codon recognition, and the 3' end, to which the tRNAs corresponding amino acid is attached (by aminoacyl-tRNA synthetases). tRNAs cope with the degeneracy of the genetic code in two manners: having more than one tRNA (with a specific anti-codon) for a particular amino acid; and 'wobble' base-pairing, i.e. permitting non-standard base-pairing at the 3rd anti-codon position. Lineage: Eukaryota; Metazoa; Chordata; Actinopteri; Cypriniformes; Danionidae. The record is from Rfam by way of RNAcentral. RNAcentral also lists the same sequence under 1 other name.